UGGGGAAUUUUGGGCAAUGGGCGAAAGCCUGAUCCAGCAAUGCCGCGUGUGUGAAGAAGGCCUUCGGGUUGUAAAGCACUUUUGUCCGGAAAGAAAUCCUUGGCUCUAAUACAGUCGGGGGAUGACGGUACCGGAAGAAUAAGCACCGGCUAACUACGUGCCAGCAGCCGCGGUAAUACGUAGGGUGCAAGCGUUAAUCGGAAUUACUGGGCGUAAAGCGUGCGCAGGCGGUUUGCUAAGACCGAUGUGAAAUCCCCGGGCUCAACCUGGGAACUGCAUUGGUGACUGGCAGGCUAGAGUAUGGCAGAGGGGGGUAGAAUUCCACGUGUAGCAGUGAAAUGCGUAGAGAUGUGGAGGAAUACCGAUGGCGAAGGCAGCCCCCUGGGCCAAUACUGACGCUCAUGCACGAAAGCGUGGGGAGCAAACAGGAUUAGAUACCCUGGUAGUCCACGCCCUAAACGAUGUCAACUAGUUGUUGGGGAUUCAUUUCCUUAGUAACGUAGCUAACGCGUGAAGUUGACCGCCUGGGGAGUACGGUCGCAAGAUUAAAACUUAAAUGAAUUGAAGGGGUCAU
RNAcentral lists this ribosomal RNA (574 nucleotides) under uncultured bacterium. RNAcentral's name for it is "partial 16S ribosomal RNA". It matches the Rfam family "Bacterial small subunit ribosomal RNA", at positions 355 to 922 of the family's 1533-position model. The record is from RNAcentral.